Molecule: ribosomal RNA, 819 nt
Filed under: Clostridium sp. AG04-5
Lineage: Bacteria; Bacillati; Bacillota; Clostridia; Eubacteriales; Clostridiaceae
Description: bacterial SSU rRNA
Rfam family: Bacterial small subunit ribosomal RNA
Source: RNAcentral
GGUACCUGGCGGCGUGCCUACACAUGCAAGUCGAGCGAACCCUUCGGGGUGAGCGGCGGACGGGUGAGUAACGCGUGGGUAACCUGCCCUGUACACACGGAUAACAUACCGAAAGGUAUGCUAAUACGGGAUAACAUAUGAGAGUCGCAUGGCUUUUGUAUCAAAGCUCCGGCGGUACAGGAUGGACCCGCGUCUGAUUAGCUAGUUGGUAAGGUAACGGCUUACCAAGGCAACGAUCAGUAGCCGACCUGAGAGGGUGAUCGGCCACAUUGGAACUGAGACACGGUCCAAACUCCUACGGGAGGCAGCAGUGGGGAAUAUUGCACAAUGGGCGAAAGCCUGAUGCAGCAACGCCGCGUGAGCGAUGAAGGCCUUCGGGUCGUAAAGCUCUGUCCUCAAGGAAGAUAAUGACGGUACUUGAGGAGGAAGCCCCGGCUAACUACGUGCCAGCAGCCGCGGUAAUACGUAGGGGGCUAGCGUUAUCCGGAAUUACUGGGCGUAAAGGGUGCGUAGGCGGUCUUUCAAGCCAGAAGUGAAAGGCUACGGCUCAACCGUAGUAAGCUUUUGGAACUGUAGGACUUGAGUGCAGGAGAGGAGAGUGGAAUUCCUAGUGUAGCGGUGAAAAUGCGUAGAUAUUAGGAGGAACACCAUUUAACAAAAGCGCCUCUUUGUGACUGUAACUGGACGCUGAUGCACAUAAAGCGGGAGAAGCAAACAGGUUUAAUUUCCCUUGGUUAGUCCUCUCCUAUUAAACGAUGGAUUUCUAAAUUGUUGGGUGUGUUCCCCCUUCUUGUUCCUGAACACGAGCUGUUAUAGUGU